RNA transcript from Physcomitrium patens, 1360 nucleotides. RefSeq lists it as uncharacterized. The record is from RefSeq and is a predicted model, not a curated record. NCBI's taxonomy places the organism in Eukaryota, Viridiplantae, Streptophyta, Bryopsida, Funariales, Funariaceae.
AGAGGUGCGGUGCUGCACUGAAGCGGAGCCUCGGUUAGGGUUUGGAUCCAGAGUGGAACGGGGACAAGACGAGUUGCGGCGAAAAAGUUUCUCUUGUUUUUGCCCCUUGCGAGCUUUAGUGCUUGGCAGGAGAGGGUUUUGAUUGCAACUUUUCAGCCCUACCCUCGCUGCUCUAUUGUGUGGCGGUUCCAGAGAGAUAGCCAUGGCGGAGCGAGGUGGUGAACGUGGGGGCUUUGGCCGUGGUUUCGGUCGUGGCGACAGAGGUGACCGAGGUGGCCGUGGAGACAGAGGUAGGGGAGACCGCCGUGGAGGACGUCGUGGUCCGAAGCGUGAUGAGGAGGAGAAGUGGGUGCCCGUAACCAAGCUCGGGAGAUUGGUAAAGGAGGGUAAGAUUAAGUCGUUGGAGCAGAUUUACUUGUUCUCCCUGCCCAUCAAAGAACAUCAGAUCGUGGAGUUUUUCUUGGGUUCUGCUCUGAAAGACGAGGUUAUGAAGAUCAUGCCCGUCCAGAAGCAGACUCGUGCUGGACAGCGUACCAGGUUUAAAGCUUUCGUUGUCGUUGGUGACAACAAUGGUCAUGUCGGUCUGGGAGUUAAGUGCAGCAAGGAAGUGGCUACUGCUAUCAGGGGUGCCAUCAUUUUGGCCAAGCUAUCUGUCAUUCCAGUUCGCAGAGGAUACUGGGGUAACAAAAUUGGCAAGCCCCACACCGUGCCUUGCAAGGUUACUGGGAAGUGUGGCUCCGUCACCGUCAGGUUGGUUCCUGCUCCCAGGGGUUCUGGUAUUGUAGCCGCCCGAGUGCCCAAGAAGGUCCUCCAGUUCGCCGGUAUUGAAGAUGUAUUCACUUCAUCACGCGGCUCCACCAAAACUCUUGGAAAUUUCGUUAAGGCGACAUUUGAGUGUCUUUUGAAGACUUACGGUUUCUUGACUCCAGAUCUCUGGAGGGAAACUAGGUUUUCUAAGUCGCCAUUCCAGGAAUUUACUGACUUCCUUGCUAAGCCUCACAAGAUUAGCGUGGUGGAGGAUGUAGAGAAGACCCCUAUAUAUUGAGGAGCUCGUUAAUUACACCAUUGCAGAAAAUCACUUGGAACAAGAGAUGUUUCCUUAGACGAUGUUGCGCGUUUUGAAAAGAAUCUUCCUCAUCUCGUAGCUGAUGAAGAUGGAUGAUAAAACCAUUCUACUUGAGUUUUGUACUUGUGUAGAUUUAAAAGCUUUCUUUGAGACUUGGUUGGGGGAGUCUUUUCUAAACUAGAGUUCACUCUAUUAUAGAAAAAUAGCUGAACGAAGGACCUUGCAAUGUCCCUGGAAUACUUUCAUCUCCUAUGGGGUGGGGAUUGUUCUCUAUUAAGUUUCAUAUUUAGGCAA